Long non-coding RNA from Anguilla anguilla (European eel), 513 nucleotides. RefSeq lists it as uncharacterized. The transcript is spliced from 3 exons. The record is from RefSeq and is a predicted model, not a curated record. NCBI's taxonomy places the organism in Eukaryota, Metazoa, Chordata, Actinopteri, Anguilliformes, Anguillidae.
AAAAUGUUCAAAUGUUAGUGUGAAGUAGUGUGGUUUCGAAAUAUGACAAUAAUUUUGUCAUCUGCACAUAAGGCCAUUUCAUAUAUAGCAUGCAGCUAUGGGCAUAUACAGCAUCUGAACAGUUCUGUAAAACAAGAUGAAGUAAAGUUCCUCCAGAGGUCUGUCUACUUUCCGGUAUGUGCACAUUAUGUACACAUAUCACACGUAAAAGCAAACCAAAUCUGUCUUGAAUUUAUUCAACUUUACUAUUUGAUAUUUACCCCAAUAUUGUAUAUUGGUUGUAGUUUUUAUAUAUUUGUGUUUGGUACCCAGCUGGCACUAAGUACUAAUUACAGGCACAACAGCUGUGAUGUGACAAACCUUCGAUUAUGAAAAUGAAAUAGCUCUUGAGCAAAUGCCAGUAAAAAGCAAUAAGAGAGAAUGCAGAGAGCUGCAUCAAACAACCAAGUGCCGGGAGAAGACUUGUCGAGCGGACAGUGUCGAGAUGAAGCAAUGAAUUACGCUGCUUUGACU